Molecule: ribosomal RNA, 382 nt
Filed under: Synechococcus sp. Lanier
Lineage: Bacteria; Bacillati; Cyanobacteriota; Cyanophyceae; Synechococcales; Synechococcaceae
Description: bacterial LSU rRNA
Rfam family: Bacterial large subunit ribosomal RNA
Source: RNAcentral
CCUGGGGCUGGAGUCGGUCCCAAGGGUUGGGCUGUUCGCCCAUUAAAGCGGUACGCGAGCUGGGUUCAGAACGUCGUGAGACAGUUCGGUCCAUAUCCGGUGCACGCGCAAGAACAUUGAGAGGAUUUCUCCCUAGUACGAGAGGACCGGGAGGAACGCACCUCUGGUGUACCAGUUAUCGUGCCAACGGUAAACGCUGGGUAGCCAUGUGCGGAGUGGAUAACCGCUGAAAGCAUCUAAGUGGGAAGCCCACCUCAAGAUGAGUGUUCUCAUGGCAUAAGCCAGUAAGGUCACGGGAAGAACACCCGUUGAUAGGCUCUACGUGGAAGCGCAGUAAUGCGUGAAGCGGAGGAGUACUAAUAGACCGAGGGCUUGACCAUAA